RNAcentral lists this ribosomal RNA (981 nucleotides) under bacterium. Its description in RNAcentral is "bacterial SSU rRNA". It matches the Rfam family "Bacterial small subunit ribosomal RNA", at positions 466 to 1444 of the family's 1533-position model. The record is from RNAcentral.
AGAGUGACGGUACCUGCAGAAAAAGCGCCGGCUAACUACGUGCCAGCAGCCGCGGUAAUACGUAGGGCGCAAGCGUUAUCCGGAAUUAUUGGGCGUAAAGAGCUCGUAGGCGGUUUGUCGCGUCUGCUGUGAAAUCCCGAGGCUCAACCUCGGGCCUGCAGUGGGUACGGGCAGACUAGAGUGCGGUAGGGGAGAUUGGAAUUCCUGGUGUAGCGGUGGAAUGCGCAGAUAUCAGGAGGAACACCGAUGGCGAAGGCAGAUCUCUGGGCCGUAACUGACGCUGAGGAGCGAAAGGGUGGGGAGCAAACAGGCUUAGAUACCCUGGUAGUCCACCCCGUAAACGUUGGGAACUAGUUGUGGGGUCCAUUCCACGGAUUCCGUGACGCAGCUAACGCAUUAAGUUCCCCGCCUGGGGAGUACGGCCGCAAGGCUAAAACUCAAAGGAAUUGACGGGGACCCGCACAAGCGGCGGAGCAUGCGGAUUAAUUCGAUGCAACGCGAAGAACCUUACCAAGGCUUGACAUAUACGAGAACGGGCCAGAAAUGGUCAACUCUUUGGACACUCGUAAACAGGUGGUGCAUGGUUGUCGUCAGCUCGUGUCGUGAGAUGUUGGGUUAAGUCCCGCAACGAGCGCAACCCUCGUUCUAUGUUGCCAGCACGUAAUGGUGGGAACUCAUGGGAUACUGCCGGGGUCAACUCGGAGGAAGGUGGGGAUGACGUCAAAUCAUCAUGCCCCUUAUGUCUUGGGCUUCACGCAUGCUACAAUGGCCGGUACAAUGGGCAGCGAUACCGUGAGGUGGAGCGAAUCCCAAAAAGCCGGUCCCAGUUCGGAUUGAGGUCUGCAACUCGACCUCAUGAAGUCGGAGUCGCUAGUAAUCGCAGAUCAGCAACGCUGCGGUGAAUACGUUCCCGGGUCUUGUACACACCGCCCGUCAAGUCAUGAAAGUCGGUAACACCUGAAGCCGGUGGCCUAACCCUUG